GAAGUUUGGACCGUAUCUCAGUUCCAAUGUGGCCGAUCAGCCUCUCAGCUCGGCUAUGCAUCGUUGCCUUGGUAGGCCAUUACCCCACCAACAAGCUAAUACACCGCAAGCUCAUCUCGAAGUGAAGCCGAAGCUCCUUUUAGCAUAUCUAGUUAUCUAAAUACGAAUUAUUUGGUAUUAGCAUCCGUUUCCAGAAGUUAUCCCAAUCUCCGGGGUAGAUUACCCACGUGUUACUCACCCGUCUGCCACUAGGAAGUAAUCCAAAUCCAUUUUGUGCAAGCACGCAAAUUUCAUUGGGCUUCCUCGUUCGACUUGCAUGUCUUAGGCAUGCCGCCAGCGUUCAUC
RNAcentral lists this ribosomal RNA (345 nucleotides) under uncultured Mollicutes bacterium. Its description in RNAcentral is "partial 16S ribosomal RNA". The record is from RNAcentral. Lineage: Bacteria; Bacillati; Mycoplasmatota; Mollicutes.